AUAUACUGCGAUUUAUUUUUCGACUACAUUUGGUAUAUCAUGCAAAUGAUUUACAAAAUUUUUGUGUUUUGGCCUUACACCUUUUACUGUCCACGCCUGCUGCAUUCCCAUGGCAGCGGCAGCAGCCUACUUGCCUGUGUGCCAGGGGCGGCGGCCUGCUGCACGCCCACGCCCACGACAGUGGCAGCAGCCUGCCUGCCAGCCAGGGGCGGCGGCGGGCCAACCAGCCAAGGCAGGGCGGUAGUGGUGGUGCUAGUCAGGGGCGGCAGUGGUUGCCCGGCGAUGGCGGUGGCGGCGACUGCCGUGAAAGCUAGGCUUCUAAAUCCAUGCACAAGUGAGGAAGGGUAAAAAAGUCAUUUCAGUCUCCCAAAUAUAUGAAAAGAAAAAAAGAAAAGAGGAAAAUACCUCAAAUGGCAAUAUAAUCAAGUGCUUAAUGUUUGGAGUCCCAUUUUUAUGAAAACGAUGUUUGGAAUGGCAAAUUUGCGAAGCGUAUUGUUUCGAGUCCUAUUUUUAUAAUUUUCUUGUUUUUUAGCAGAUAAAACUUGUUUUGUUAAAUAAAACCAUAUUAUCGUAGUAGAAUAGGUAGUGGUUACAUAACAAUGCUUCCUUCCAACGGUAGCAAUGCAACCCGCUGACCCUGGCACAAUCUUGGACUGGCCCAAUUGUGGAGUUCAAUGCGGACUUCUUGAAACUGAUGGGCCAAAUGGCAAAUUGAUGGGUUCUACUUCUGGCUUCUUCCUUUCGCCACAUCUGGCCCAAACGUUGGGGUCUCAUCUUCUUCAUCUCAGGCUGUCUCCAACAAGGGUUGCCAUUUGGGGUUGGCAAAUGCACCGUAGGCAAACUGGCAACCGUAGGCAUUUCUACCGUGUCUCCAACAAGGUUGGCAAAAGCGGGGUCCCAAAGGAGGAGUCGUUGGCUCCCGCCGCCGCCGGGAAGCCAGUGGCCAUCGUCGCGCUCGUCCCAGAUCCGGCAACCCAAGGGUGGUACCGGCGGCAAACAGGAGGCGGCCCUGCAGGGUCGUACGCCGGUGACAUACGGUCUUCUGGCGGCCUGAUGCUGAGGACGCCGUGAAAUUGCAAGGGCCUGGACCUCCGUGGUGCUGUGUUGUCAUGGCUUGGAGGUACAUAAAAAUGGCGAUGUGCGGAACGGUUGCAGCAAGACGUCGAAAAGAGGAAGACUUGCAUGCCACUACCAUUGUAGCAUGCAUGGAUUUUGGUAGUAAACGGCGGUGGGGAGGAUCUGUACCCGGGCAUCAGGUCAAGAAGCGAAAAAGGGAUGAGAUAAACGAGCAAAUCAUGGGAAAUUACUUCAACGACCCACCCUUGUAUGGCGAUGGUUUGUUUCGGCGAAGGUAACUAGUUGAUGAGUCUUUAUUUUCUUCAGUCAUGCAUGUAAUCAUUUUGCCC
Molecule: long non-coding RNA, 1406 nt
Organism: Panicum virgatum (switchgrass)
Lineage: Eukaryota; Viridiplantae; Streptophyta; Magnoliopsida; Poales; Poaceae
Exons: 3
Source: RefSeq, a predicted model, not a curated record